Molecule: ribosomal RNA, 460 nt
Filed under: uncultured bacterium
Lineage: Bacteria
Description: partial 16S ribosomal RNA
Rfam family: Bacterial small subunit ribosomal RNA
Source: RNAcentral
CCUACGGGAGGCAGCAGUGAGGAAUAUUGGUCAAUGGACGAAAGUCUGAACCAGCCAUGCCGCGUGCAGGAAGACGGCUCUAUGAGUUGUAAACUUCUUUUGUACAAGGGUAAACCUGAAUACGUGUAUUCAUCUGAAUGUACUGUACGAAUAAGGAUCGGCUAACUCCGUGCCAGCAGCCGCGGUAAUACGGAGGAUCCAAGCGUUAUCCGGAUUUAUUGGGUUUAACGGGUGCGUAGACGGGUUGAUAAGUUAGAUGUGAAAGUUCCGGGCUCAACCCGGGAACUGCCAUUGAUACUGGUAGUGUUGAGGAUAGAUGCGGUAGGCGGAAUGUAUGGUGUAGCGGUGAAAUGCUUAGAGAUCAUGAAGAACACCGAUUGCGAAGGCAGCUUACCAAUCUAUAACUGACGUUGAGGCACGAAAGCGUGGGGAGCAAACAGGAUUAGAUACCCCAGUAGUC